GAUGAAGAACGCAGCGAAAUGCGAUAAGUAAUGUGAAUUGCAGAAUUCAGUGAAUCAUCGAAUCUUUGAACGCACAUUGCGCCCCCUGGUAUUCCGGGGGGCAUGCCUGUUCGAGCGUCAUUUCACCACUCAAGCCUCGCUUGGUAUUGGGCAACGCGGUCCGCCGCGUGCCUCAAAUCGACCGGCUGGGUCUUCUGUCCCCUAAGCGUUGUGGAAACUAUUCGCUAAAGGGUGUUCGGGAGGCUACGCCGUAAAACAACCCCAUUUCUAAGGUUGACCUCGGAUCAGGUAGGGAUACCCGCUGAACUUAAGCAUAUCAAUACGCGGAGGA
This 331-nucleotide unclassified non-coding RNA is filed under the name soil metagenome. RNAcentral's name for it is "partial contains 5.8S ribosomal RNA, internal transcribed spacer 2, and large subunit ribosomal RNA". The stretch from base 1 to 120 matches the Rfam family "5.8S ribosomal RNA", at positions 35 to 154 of the family's 154-position model. The record is from RNAcentral.